UGGGGAAUAUUGCGCAAUGGGCGAAAGCCUGACGCAGCGACGCCGCGUGAGGGAUGAAGGUUUUCGGAUCGUAAACCUCUGUCAGAAGGGAAGAAACCGCACUGUGCUAAUCAGCAGCGCCUUGACGGUACCUUCAAAGGAAGCACCGGCUAACUCCGUGCCAGCAGCCGCGGUAAUACGGAGGGUGCAAGCGUUAAUCGGAAUUACUGGGCGUAAAGCGCACGUAGGCUGCUUUGUAAGUCAGGGGUGAAAUCCCACGGCUCAACCGUGGAACUGCCUUUGAUACUGCUUAGCUUGAAUCCGGGAGAGGGUGGCGGAAUUCCAGGUGUAGGAGUGAAAUCCGUAGAUAUCUGGAGGAACAUCAGUGGCGAAGGCGGCCACCUGGACCGGUAUUGACGCUGAGGUGCGAAAGCGUGGGGAGCAAACAGG
Molecule: ribosomal RNA, 429 nt
Filed under: Fusobacteriota bacterium
Lineage: Bacteria; Fusobacteriati; Fusobacteriota
Description: Fusobacteria bacterium partial 16S ribosomal RNA
Rfam family: Bacterial small subunit ribosomal RNA
Source: RNAcentral